This is a long non-coding RNA of Archocentrus centrarchus (flier cichlid), 1484 nucleotides long. RefSeq lists it as uncharacterized. The transcript has 5 exons. The record is from RefSeq and is a predicted model, not a curated record. Lineage: Eukaryota; Metazoa; Chordata; Actinopteri; Cichliformes; Cichlidae.
AGAAAGUGUCCACCAGUUACACUGUAUUUCUGCUGUGCAACCAACUUGGAAGUCCUGGGUCAACCUGUGUUAUCCAUGCAUGUGGAAAUGUAAAGAAUAUGAUCUUCUUCAUAUUCAAGAAGAUCUGAACUUCUAAAACAUUACAAACUUGAUCAUCUCAGAGCACCAUGGCAGACAUGGCACCUGUUUGAUUGCUGAUCGUUUUAAGUGAAGACAACAGCGUAAGAAUGGAGCUGCACAAAGGGAUUCCAAACUCAUUGGAAGAGCUUAUUGAUGAGGUUAAGAAUGCGUGUGGAUUAGAGGGACACACAAGGCUGCAGUAUAAGGACACCGAUUUUGGAAACAUAUUUGUGAAUCUGACCUCUACAUCUGUGAUUAGGGAUCUUAAAUUCUCAAAGUUGUUCAGUUAGACCCUGAUACCACAACUGUUGUCUUGUACCCGGUUGAUCCCUCAAUAAGUAUCAACACUUCUGUAAGUGGCCUGGACAGUGAUGACUCCUCUGUUUCUGCACAUACAGAUGACACAGUGUUGCUUAGCAGCCCCUCACCAGACUCACUAAGGACACAGCAGUGGCCACAAGUGUUCCAAAUCCCAAACUUCUCCUAUGACACAAAAUGCCAACUGCAGAAGGCAAAUGUGGAGUACAUGAAAAGCCAAACAAAACUGACUCCUAGUUCAAAAAUGUUGUCAGACAUAGUGGAGAAAUUAGCUGAAAGUGUGUAUGCAUACACACCAUAUCCUGAAGAUGGUCACUACAGCGAUGUUGCUGAGGCACUCACAAGAAAGCACCCCUGCCUUAGAGAGCCAAGAUCUUUCAGUCAGAGCUAUGGGUGGAAACAGAGGCUCAAGAUAAAAAUGGCCAACUACCGGACCCAACUCAAGGCACAUGGCACGUCUGCUGAGCUCACAGUGAAUUCUUUAAAAGCAAAAAUUCCAGGGGAUGCCUUUCCGGCAUAGAAUGUGAAGAGUCCUAGAUGAGCUGAGGUCAACCAUUUUCCAUCUUUUCCAAUUGGUGAGACUACAGAAAGCUUGGAACAAGAGAGGAUUUCCUUUUUGGCAGAAAUGCAGAAAAGAAACAACCAGCAAACAGUAAAAGCAAAGAUGGCAAAGACAUUUGGAUACCGAAGACAGGAAAUCGUACAGAAGCCAGCCAACCGCUGAAGAAAUUUUGGUGAGAUGGCCAGCACUUCUCCUAAUGGAAGAGAUCAAUGCUGAGUUCCUGCGAAUUCCAACAGUUCCUUUGGAGGCUACGUUUUUGGCACUCCACCAAACUGCUGGAGGUCAUUAGGAGGAAGGGAGGACGUGUGAAAGAGCAGACCUCCAGGAUCUUACAAGUUGUAGAUGAGACUGUUGACAUCACCAUCAAAAGAGAAGCUGUCCUUAAAGCUCUGAUGAUCUACCUGGGUGAGCCUGUUGAGCAUCUUUUUAAAGAGUACCAGGAUGAGCAGGAGGAUGACCAACUGCAGCUGGAAACCAUGGCGAU